CAAAGCUCUUUCCCUUUUAAAACAUCUUAAAUUAAAAUUCUCAUAUAAAAUAAUUCUUUCAUGUGAACUUAACACAAAAGCCUCAAUUGACUUAGUUUCUCAGUGUAAGAAAAUCACAAAUUAUAACAGUCCAAACUUAAUCAACCCACAAAAUAAAAAGAUUUGCGGCCCAAACAAAUUUGGACACAAAAAGAAAUAAAAAAUAAUAAUAAUAAUAAAACCACUCUAAAUAAAUCCAACCCACAAAAUUAGAUUCUUUUCAAACAAAUGGGCCCAAAUAAACCAAGCCCAAUUCAAUUAAAUGGGCAGCCAAGGCUAAUCCACACAAUAACCAUGAAGUCAGACGCCUGAAAAUUGAGACGUCGUAUCACACCGAUUGCACACACAUAAACGCUCGAUCCAACUCCGAUAACCUACCAUACAUAGCCACACUUAAUUGAUACCCACCGGUGAAGAGGGGAAAAAACUACUCAAGCUACAAUUGAAUACCACUAUCGCUGUGCUGAAGAUGGCGAUCUGCACCACCACCGCCGCGUUGAAGACGACGAUCUACACCAACCAAGAUGUUGACCACAAAUCAGCCAACCCAAAAUUCCAAACGCAUGACCACCCAGAAAUCUUGAAUACCCUAAACAAGAAAUUCAAUCACCUACUCCGACCACCCCGUAGGCAGAAUAAAAUUGAAAAUCAAAGAUUCAACGAUGGGAUGUAGAGGUAUCGCUGAUACCGUGUCAAUAUUUUGGCUGAAUGCCCUUCCGAUUUGGGGCUCUUCCAUUAAAUAGAAAUAAUCGUAUCAUCCUAAUAUGGUAAACAAAAACUAAUUACAAUAAUUUACAAUCAAUUAUAUAUAGGUAAUUAUAGUUGUGAUAAUCUCCGUGGUAAUCUUCGAUGUAAUCUCCACAAUUUUUGCCAAUCUUCAAUUUCGUUAACAUAUUAUAGUUUAUACAUUUCAG
Molecule: long non-coding RNA, 953 nt
Filed under: Olea europaea (common olive)
Lineage: Eukaryota; Viridiplantae; Streptophyta; Magnoliopsida; Lamiales; Oleaceae
Description: long non-coding RNA (OEUR_LNC004280)
Source: RNAcentral